CACUGUUACGAGGGGGUCCUUGCUCCCGAGCUCCCAAGAUGGUGGCAGGCCACUUCCAAGAUGGUGGCAAGCCUCGUGUUCUCUGACCUGGGGUUCUUGGCCUCACAGAUUCCAAGGAAUAGAAUCUUGGGCCAUGCAGUCAGUGUUAUAGCUCUAUUAGAACCUGCGGGUCACAGAAGAGAACCAUGGAACCCAGUGACUAGUGUUCAGCUCUAUUAGGACGAACCCAGGCACUUAGCCAUGCAGGAACAAUGGCAAGCCUUUAGCCCGAUCGGGAGUGGCAAUGGGCGCCUCGAUGGAUCAGGAGCACAGCGGACACCCUGCCAGAUCUGGAGGGAUGGAAGUCAGCGGUGGGUCUGCGAAAGCGCAAACAGGAGUGGUGGACAGCAAGUGAAAGCUCACCUCGAGCCGUAAGGAACACGGAACAAAAGAGAGUGCAGUUGCAAGAUUUAAUAGAGUGAAGACAGAGCUCCCAUACAAAAAGAGAGGACCCAAAGAGGUCAUCAGUUAGAUGAAUAUGUAUUUGAAAGCUGUUCAUUCAUUGUGGAGAUGUGGGUAGACAGCAGUAAAUAUGCCCCAUGGCACUGAUUAACUCAAAGUGGCUCCAGGCCAAAGAUUUUAUGCUUCAGUGGAGAUAUUUUUGCCAGGAACCAUGUUUACCAGAGAUGUUUCCCAAGAUGGACAACAGACUGACCAUGUUGAUUCAGAACUAAGUACUAAUAAAAAGGAGUUUAAUAAGAAGUCUAAUAGAAAUCAAAUUGUAUUUAUCAACUUUAAUUCUAUUUUAAUGCACGAGUCCUAACAGCCAAACGACUAAUAUGCUGACAUUUCUUAAUUCAUUUUUUCUGACUGUGCUCCCAAAAGUUGUCUGGGCUUUUGCUGUUGCAACUGGAAGAGGCAAAGAAUAAUGAUUAUUAAAAAGUAGGUAUGUGCAAUAUUGAGAUCAUCCGGUGGUUCUUCAUUGCAAUCCAACAGGCAAAGGAGUAAGAAUGUCUGUAAAGUGGAGAU
Molecule: long non-coding RNA, 1008 nt
Filed under: Homo sapiens (human)
Lineage: Eukaryota; Metazoa; Chordata; Mammalia; Primates; Hominidae
Description: HSALNT0312369
Source: RNAcentral